Anneissia japonica is the source of this 619-nucleotide long non-coding RNA. RefSeq lists it as uncharacterized. The record is from RefSeq and is a predicted model, not a curated record. Lineage: Eukaryota; Metazoa; Echinodermata; Crinoidea; Comatulida; Comatulidae. The transcript is spliced from 3 exons.
UUGUUCUUUACCGCUGAAAGUGCGGUAUUCUAACGUUAGUUUAUGGAGGGCUGGUCGGCCUAAUGUGUUGAGAGCAGACAUAUAUAGAAUCUUAAUCUGAUGUCUUCGUAAAUUCAAAGCUUUUUAUAUAGAACUAUUAUUAUACUGUACCAAACUUGGUUAUACUGAUCUACAUAGACAAAUGAUUUGCCAUGAACUGAGGCUGCUUUGCCUGCUUAGUGUUACCCAGACUUUGCUACGUCACUUUGAUGAAUAAAUGUUAUGAAAUCAAGACGAGUUAUCUGUUGUCGUUGUACGUGUCGACCGCUACCCCACACAAAUAGUUAGGGAGGCCGGAGCCUUUUACAUUUUCAUUAAAGACAAGCAUAGAGGAAAGAUAUGAUGGUGCAUACCCUUGUAGACACUUAUAAAUAAUUAUAAGUAACUGAUUUCUCCAACUUUCAUUGAGUUUACUCCAUUUAAAUGUGUUCAUUAUUUCAUUUAGUGAGUCAUACAGAAAGUACAAUUCUACCUAGUCUAUUUAGUAAAAUUUGCAGAGUAUUUAGAUAUUGUAUAUUGCAACAUUAUACAUAAUAAUUUAUAUUUGAUAUGCCUAUAAAUCAGUAUGUUCAUAUCGUUA